CCACCUCCCCGGUGCGGGGGGUCUCCGUCUCGGGGGGCCCCGACACCAUCGUGCAGUGCGUGAGGCAGAUCUGCGCCGUCAUCCUGGAGUCGCCUCCAAAGGGGGCCACCAUCCCCUAUCACCCUGGUCUCUCCCUGGGCACCAUCCUGCUCUCUGCCAACCAGGGCUUCUCCAUGCACGGCCAGUACGGCGGCGUCUCU
Molecule: non-coding RNA, 200 nt
Organism: Tinamus guttatus (white-throated tinamou)
Lineage: Eukaryota; Metazoa; Chordata; Aves; Tinamiformes; Tinamidae
Source: RefSeq, a predicted model, not a curated record